UCUUGUUCCAGUUCCUCUACUUCUAGUAGUUCCUGAGGAAAGGAAAUCCGAUCUUAUCAAAUCUCAUCUCCUGCGGGGAAAGCCUUUAGAAAAGACUCAGUUUUCCAGCUAUACGAGAAGGAAAGAAGAGAAAGGGCCAUUCCAUAUAGCUUUCCUUUAAUUGCAUUACCUACUUCUUCCUAUGAAUAGAAUUCCGAGCCUGUACGAACUCUUCCCCUUCCUCUAGAAUUCCCUUCUUCCUUCGGUAGCUGGGAGUUAGAAGUUAGCUCUUCUUUGCGGAGGAUCUUUUAGAUUCCUUUCCUCUACUAGCUGCUAGAACUUCCGACUAGCAAGAACUAGCAACAGUAGAAAGAGGAUUAGCUACAGUAGCCCAGAACUGAACUCAACUGAAAGACUAAAAUCGAUGAACUGGUUGAUUCAUUGAUUGCGACUUUCCGAUCCUAUAUAUUCUAUUUGGUCGAGCGGGGUAGAG
Molecule: long non-coding RNA, 472 nt
Filed under: Panax ginseng (ginseng)
Lineage: Eukaryota; Viridiplantae; Streptophyta; Magnoliopsida; Apiales; Araliaceae
Description: long non-coding RNA (PGIN_LNC000322)
Source: RNAcentral